UAGCUGAGUGGCAGAGCAUCUGCUUUGCGUGCAGAAGGUCUCAGGUUCGAUUCCCACCAACAUCCUGGCAGAGAAU
Podarcis lilfordi (Lilford's wall lizard) is the source of this 76-nucleotide non-coding RNA. The record is from the annotation of a GenBank genome assembly. Lineage: Eukaryota; Metazoa; Chordata; Lepidosauria; Squamata; Lacertidae.